Molecule: transfer RNA, 72 nt
Filed under: Streptococcus pyogenes
Lineage: Bacteria; Bacillati; Bacillota; Bacilli; Lactobacillales; Streptococcaceae
Description: tRNA-Asp(gtc)
Rfam family: tRNA
About the family: Transfer RNA (tRNA) molecules are approximately 80 nucleotides in length.
Source: RNAcentral
GGUCCCGUAGGUAGCGGUUAUCACGUCGCCCUGUCACGGCGAAGAUCGCGGGUUCGAUUCCCGUCGGGACCG